This 872-nucleotide ribosomal RNA is filed under the name uncultured fungus. RNAcentral's name for it is "SSU rRNA". It matches the Rfam family "Eukaryotic small subunit ribosomal RNA", at positions 612 to 1507 of the family's 1831-position model. The record is from RNAcentral. Lineage: Eukaryota; Fungi.
GUUGCAGUUAAAGCUCGUAGUUGAAUUUUGGCCUUGGUUUGUGAGGUUCGGCCUUCACUGGUCGGUACCUUUACGAACCGGGCUCCACCUUCUGGGUUAGCCAGUUGUUACUUCGGUGCAGCUGGUGAACCAGAACUUUUACUUUGAAAAAAUUGGAGUGUUUAAAGCAGGCUUUCAAGCUUGAACAUAUUAGCAUGGAAUAAUGAAAUAGGACUUUGGCCUUAUUUCGUUGGUUUCUAAAGCCAAGGUAAUGAUGAAUAGGGAUAGUUGGGGACAUUAGUAUUCAAUUGUCAGAGGUGAAAUUCUUGGAUUUAUUGAAGACUAACUUCUGCGAAAGCAUUUGUCAAGGAUGUUUUCAUUAAUCAAGAACGAAAGUUAGGGGAUCGAAGACGAUCAGAUACCGUCGUAGUCUUAACCAUAAACUAUGCCGACUAAGGAUCGGAUGGUGUUAUAUUUAUAUUGACCCAUUCGGCAUUUCAGCGAAAGCCAAGUUUUUGGGUUCCGGGGGGAGUAUGGUCGCAAGGCUGAAACUUAAAGGAAUUGACGGAAGGGCACCACCAGGAGUGGAGCCUGCGGCUUAAUUUGACUCAACACGGGGAAACUCACCAGGUCCAGACAUAGUAAGGAUUGACAGAUUGAGAGCUCUUUCUUGAUUCUAUGGGGUGGUGGUGCAUGGCCGUUCUUAGUUCGUGGAGUGAUUUGUCUGGUUAAUUCCGAUAACGAACGAGACCUUACUCUGCUAAAUAGCCAGCAUGACUUUGGUCGUGUCCUUUUUGGCUUCUUAGAGAGACUAUCAAUGUUUAUUUGAUGGAGUUUGAGCAUAACAGUCUGUGAUGCCCUUAGAUGUCUGGGCGCACGCGCGCUACACUGAU